GGGAAAUCACACACUUUCUGAAGCCUGAGACAUACCCACUCUAAUGUCUUGUAGGAAAACGGGCAUCUGUGAGAUAUGCUGAAUCUGCUGCUGUACCUACUGUACCUGUGUACUCUGCUUAAGUACACAACUGCAGUUGCAGAGCUCAGUGACUGUACAGCUGCAGGGAGUAUAUGCCACACUAAUGCAGACUGCUUCAAAACACGUGAUGAUAAGUUUGUCUGCAUGUGCCAAAUGGGGUACAGGGGUACAGGAGUACAAUGCCAGGACAUUGAUGAGUGUACUACUGGUCUACACAGCUGCCAUGCAAAAGCAGUCUGCACUAACACUCUUGGUAGUUAUACCUGU
Danio aesculapii is the source of this 348-nucleotide long non-coding RNA. RefSeq lists it as uncharacterized. The transcript has 3 exons. The record is from RefSeq and is a predicted model, not a curated record. NCBI's taxonomy places the organism in Eukaryota, Metazoa, Chordata, Actinopteri, Cypriniformes, Danionidae.